Molecule: long non-coding RNA, 704 nt
Filed under: Cavia porcellus (domestic guinea pig)
Lineage: Eukaryota; Metazoa; Chordata; Mammalia; Rodentia; Caviidae
Description: lncRNA (ENSCPOG00000030596.1)
Source: RNAcentral
GCUGAUCUCAGCAUAGUAUUCUGUCUGUCUGGAAUAUGUAUAAUGAAGAAAUGUGGAAGACAUUCCCUGUUUCCAGUGAGCUCUGUUACUUGUGGGCAUGCAAGUACCACUCGGACACAUGGCCACUUCUACUUGGAGCUCAAUGGAGAGACAGAAUUCCAGAAAGAUGUGCAGUGCUACAGAUACUAGAUGGGAGAAAGUCAUCACACUGAAAGGGGAAACCCACACAUGAGUACCUAAGAAGGAUGUUGCCCUGGAACUGCCUCUUUGUAUUUCCAGAUGUUUUCAAGCAAUUGUUACAUUGGCUUGCAGUAGUCAUUUGGACAAAACAACAGAGAGAAGUACAUCUUCACUUAGUACCUACCAGCAAGCAGUAGAUGUGUUCAGACCCCAAUCUGUGGGGCCCAAAGGCUUCAUGUGACAAUUUGUGUACAGAGUACAAUGAUUGAAUGUGUCUGCCAGGCUGCAGUGCCCAUCACCGAGAAAACGCAAAUUCUGAUAUUUUGAAUCUGUGGGAGCGUUCCUGAGCAAUCUGUAAGGCGGGCUGGAUGAAGGUGGUCCAGUAUCCUCACAGAGAAAAGGUAACCAUUUCAAAAAUGCCUUGAGCAACCCAGUCUGCAGAUUGUUAUUGGUGUGACUAUUCCUGAAACAGGUGUUAGGUUCAUAAAUUUGCAUAACAAAAAGCAUUUCCUGUGGCAGCAGCC